RNAcentral lists this ribosomal RNA (776 nucleotides) under uncultured Neocallimastigales. Its description in RNAcentral is "partial large subunit ribosomal RNA". It matches the Rfam family "Eukaryotic large subunit ribosomal RNA", at positions 22 to 639 of the family's 3401-position model. Lineage: Eukaryota; Fungi; Neocallimastigomycota; Neocallimastigomycetes; Neocallimastigales. The record is from RNAcentral.
GUACACGCUGUGACUAGCAUAUCAAUAAGCGGAGGAAAAGAAACUAACAAGGAUUCCCCUAGUGACGGCGAGUGAAGCGGGAAGAGCUCAAAUUUGAAAUCUUAAAGGGUUUCCCUUUACGAAUUGUAGUUUAAAGAAGUGUUUUCUGUUGAGGUUUUGGUAAAAGUUCUUUGGAAUAGGACAUCAUAGAGGGUGAGAAUCCCGUAUUUGACCUUUACUUUCAACUUUGUGAUACACUUUCAAAGAGUCGGAUUGUUUGGGAAUGCAGUCCAAAAUGGGUGGUAAAUUUCAUCUAAAGCUAAAUAUUGGCGAGAGACCGAUAGCGAACAAGUACCGUGAGGGAAAGAUGAAAAGAACUUUGAAAAGAGAGUUAAACAGUACGUGAAAUUGUCAAAAGGGAAGCGUUUGACACCAGUGUUGUUUUUCUGAAAAUCAAUUAAAGAACUGUUUAUGCUAAGCUGUUUAGACUUUAUCAGCUAUACUGUUUAGUUUUGAGCUUUUCUUUAAUGCACUUUUCAGUUAACAAGUCAACAUCAAUUUCUUUUGCUGUAAAAAAGCUUGAGGAAGGUGGCUUGAGAUUCGUCUUAAGUGUUUAUAGCCUCUUGCCUAUGCAGUCGGAGAGAUUGAGGUCUGCAGCGUAGAUCCUUCGGGGCUAAAUGCAUUUGUGCUAAGUUAUAACAUUUUAUAGACAACUUGUUGGACUAUGAUUUGUCUUGUAGCUUACUCGCUUAUGUUAUUUUACCUACGCUUAGGAUGUUGACGCGCGUGUGUGCGUG